Molecule: non-coding RNA, 3194 nt
Organism: Oryctolagus cuniculus (rabbit)
Lineage: Eukaryota; Metazoa; Chordata; Mammalia; Lagomorpha; Leporidae
Source: RefSeq, a predicted model, not a curated record
UCUUUUCAGUUUCUGCUCUUUCUCUCCAGUUCUACUCAGAUGUCGUUCUGUGUGUGAGGCCUGCUCUAUCUCGUUCAGUCUGUUUAGCGGCCCCCCUCUUUCCUCUAAAAUCGAUUUACACUUAGCAAUGUCAUAGCAGUGUUCAAAACUUAGGGAUACCGUAGGGAACAAGAUGGAUAAGACCUUUUCAUGGAGUUUGCACUCAUUUGGGGUAGCCAUGCACGACUAAAUCAAUCACAGUGUGGCACGUGCACUCAUUGUCUGCUAUGCUUAAGCAGUGAGAUAGCACAGAGAAAACUCCCAGUCCAUAAAUGCCUAGUGGGCCAAACAAUGAACAAAAAAGGGUGAUAUUAGAGAAAUAAGGCUGUGAGGUAUUCGAGGAAAAGGUAUUCAUGACACUUGUUAAAGAUAUCAGGGCAGAGCCGGCGCCGUGGCUCAAUAGGCUAAUCCUCCACCUUGCGGCGCCGGCACACCGGGUUCUAGUCCCGGUCAGGGCACCGGAUUCUGUCCCGGUUGCCCCUCUUCCAGGCCAGCUCUCUGCUAUGGCCAGGGAGUGCAGUGGAGGAUGGCCCAGGUGCUUGGGCCCUGCACCCCAUGGGAGACCAGGAAAAGCACCUGGCUCCUGGCUCCUGCCAUCGGAUCAGCGUGGUGCGCCGGCCGCAGUGCGCCGGCCGCGGCAGCCAGUGGAGGGUGAACCAACGGCAAAGGAAGACCUUUCUCUCUGUCUCUCUCUCUCACUGUCCACUCUGCCUGUCAAAAAAAAAAACAAAAAAACAUUUAAAGAUAUCAGGGCAGAAUUUGUUCAACAGGGCACAAGUAUAGGGGCCACUGCAACUUUGGCUUGCCUUAAGGGAGAGAUUGAACCUAACUUUGCCUCCAAAAAGGACAAGUGAGGAUCCGUGGACCAAAAACUACUAGGAGGAAGCAUCAAGGGUAAGGUUUCUGACUAAGCUGACUUGACAGGAUUACUGCUGGGGGCAGCCAGAGUACUGAGACAUCAAGAGUGGUCCCACAUCAAGGGUGAGUUUUUUGUUAAACUGACUUUGCAGGAUUCUUGCUCAAACUGGAUUCAACAAGGACAGAGAAGGGAGCCCCAGUUCAGGCCUGGUCAGGCAGAAGACUCAGGAGCCUUAACAAAGUUUGAUCCAAGGAGAGAAAAACAAGAGUGCAUUAGCAGGGAGAUGGACUAGGUGUGGACAGCUGGGACUUCCAUAAGGGAUGCCGGCAUUGCAGCACUGUGGUAUGCGUCAGCCUGUUGCAGGCAUUUGGUGAGCGGAUGGAAGUGGAUGGAAGAUCUUUCACUCUGCCUUUCAAAUAAAAAAUGAAGGUUAAAAAAAAAAAAGUCGAAGGAACUAGUUAGGCCCUUUUGCCCUUCUGCCAUGUGCGGAUGCAGAGGCCAUCCUGGAAGCAGCGGAGGGCAGCCUUCUCCAGACAGCAGACCUGCUCAUGUCUUCACCUUGUCCUUCCCAGCUGCCAGCACUGGGAGGAAUAUACUUCAGUUCCUUACACAUUUCGCAGGCUUAGGUAUUUAGUUACAGCAGCAGGAACGGACUCAGACAAGAUACACUGCUACAUCAGAAGGUGCAGACACCUUCGGAGAUGGAUACGGGUGUGGCAGGAAGCUGAAGGCAAAAAAUACUGGACAAGCUCUUGCAGCGGCCUGUGUACGUGAGGAUCGAGCAGCCAGUCUCCUUCCUGAAGGCAGCUAAGAGUGAAAGUGCCCAGGCACACAAAGCUGCUUUCUGAAGAGCUGUACCCAGCCUCUACAUAUGAGGUCCUGAACAAAUCGCUACUGAACACUGCUCACCUAGGACUGCCCCACUCUAGAAAACAGACUUUAAUGAAGUUUUGCUGUCCAACCAAGAAUGACACAAACUAUCAAUAAGGUCUCAUCAUUUUAAUUGACUUUAAUGAUUAUUGCUCAUCUGCAAGGAUUAAUAUUGCAUUCAUUAAAAAUCAUUCAAUACAAAAUGAACUUGUUCCUCCCAGGGUGCUCGCCACACGCUCCCUCUGAUGCCAUACAUUUUCCACAGUGUCCUUUGUGACACGGCUUGACAGAGACGGAGCCCUUACCUAUAAUUCCUAUGGACACAGUAAUAGAAAUGGGAUCGGGGCAGGCCAGAGGGCAGUGGGCUCUGCGCCCCUCCCUCCAGCAGAGCUGAUGCAAUGGAUACACUGUUGGCCAGGUUACCUCCCCUAAUGGGUGUGUAUUCUGAUUGGCUGCUUAAGUGCCCUAGGAAAUAGGGCUUCCACUGUCAGCAUUUACAGAGAAGAAAGCAUGGUCACACUGGCAAGGGGUGAGAAGGGCCUGGGAGGGGAGAAACGGGAGGGGAAAGGGAAAAAUGUUUUGGCAAGAUAACUGUCCCCUGCUGGCAAGUGGCAGGCGAAGGCUUUCCUUUUGUAUAUUCCUGUUUUUAAUGUCUGUUUCUCUGAUCAGUGGAAGGAGAGAAGUGAAAACUUCUACUAUCUAGCAAUAACGCAUGACCCAACUUUGAAGGAUCACAAGCUAGAACACGUUGAGGACUUCAAAUCCUGGAUAAAGAUAUAUACUUAAAGCUCACUGGACCAUGCAGAAAUGCUGGGAAGCUGGGCGCAUGGCACGGGAACGCGUCUCUCUGACCUUGGACAGCGCUCUCUGAAGAUUCUGCCGGUACCUGAGCCAGGAUGCGGGAUCCUUUCUCUCCACACAACUGCCCUUUGAGAUCUGACUUGGUUCACCUCUGUGAAACUAACACCAUUGAGCGCCUAGGGCCCCAGACAAGUUACACAGAGCUCCAUCUCGCUCACCUGACCCAGUCUGUCAUUCUUCCUUUCAACAGCCACGCCUACCUCCCUUGAAACAGUUUAGGUUACAGAAGCACAGCGGGCCAGCAAUUUGCUCUUAAAAGAUAAAUCCUAAAGAUAAAGCUCAGUGCUUUACACUGAGUAAUGGCUCAAGAAGUUUGCCUUCAGCGCAAGCUGUAGGGGGCAGAGCUGAGAGAAGUUGCUGUUAUGGCUCCAGUUCACUGGUGCUAUAAACCAUGGGCUAGGAACAGAGGGACUUCAAGUUUGAGACUAGCAUGUCUCUGGACUCACCUCUGUACUCUUGGCUCCAAAGAGUCAAAAAAGAAAUUGGUAACAACUUACCCCCCAAGUAGUUCCUCAGUGUUAACACUAAGAAGUUUCCUUAUUAUUUUUAAUACAACACAAAUAAA